GACCAACCAGCCCAAGGAACAUCUCACCAAUUUUAAAUCGGGGGGGAAACACUGUGGACUGGCAUGCUGCUGGCCACCACUUCCCAGCUGAAGACUCAGGAGCGCCAUGUGGAAGAACUCAUCUCACAGAUAUUGGCAAAAGCUACCAAGCAGGACUUGAUUUAUUGUUUUGUUCAUUGUCUAGACUAAGAAAGUGAUGAAAUGUUAAUAAUGGAUAAUGAUUAAUGAAAUGGAUAAUGAAAAUGAAAAAUAAUUAAUGUAAAUUAAAUGUGAAAGUGUGUCCUACUUGUAGCUGUUAUACUGUGAAUAACUUUAAGAAGAAACCUUAGUAAAUAUUCCUCCAGUUUUCAAAAAUUAUUUUCUAGUUCGGCAAAGAAGUCAUUCACAUCACUGAUAAAUGAAUGAAGUUCUAACAGAUGUCUUUAUUGAUUCACUUUUAUUUUAUUUGUUAACAUAAAUGAAAAUACAGGUGAUGUUCAUGUCAGAACACUUUCAUCAAAUGCAACCACAGUUUGGCUAUGAAUAUAGAAGCCUGGCAAAAAUCAAUAAAAGCAGUCUGUGAGAAUCAAUUGAUUAUAAGGAAUUUCCAAUAAAGAAUAUUAUAUAUGUUGUUACUUGUAAAUAGCAUGAUAUACCUUCUUUAUAUCAGAAAAGUUUAUAAUAAAGUUAUGUGUGUAUGUA
Molecule: long non-coding RNA, 681 nt
Filed under: Homo sapiens (human)
Lineage: Eukaryota; Metazoa; Chordata; Mammalia; Primates; Hominidae
Description: HSALNT0328408
Source: RNAcentral